UAAUACAGAGGGUGCGAGCGUUAAUCGGAAUUACUGGGCGUAAAGCGCGCGUAGGCGGCUUUGCAAGUCGGGUGUGAAAUCCCCAGGCUUAACCUGGGAACUGCAUUCGAGACUGCAUUGCUAGAGUAUGGGAGAGGGAAGUGGAAUUUCCGGUGUAGCGGUGAAAUGCGUAGAUAUCGGAAGGAACAUCAGUGGCGAAAGCGACUUCCUGGACCAAUACUGACGCUCAUGUGCGAAAGCGUGGGGAGCAAACAGGA
This 257-nucleotide ribosomal RNA is filed under the name uncultured prokaryote. RNAcentral describes it as "partial 16S ribosomal RNA". It matches the Rfam family "Bacterial small subunit ribosomal RNA", at positions 521 to 777 of the family's 1533-position model. The record is from RNAcentral.